GUGGCUGCAGUUUAGUGGUGAGAAUUCCACGUUGUGGCCGUGAAGACCAGGCUCGAAUCCCAGCAGCCACA
Molecule: transfer RNA, 71 nt
Filed under: Triticum urartu
Lineage: Eukaryota; Viridiplantae; Streptophyta; Magnoliopsida; Poales; Poaceae
Rfam family: tRNA
About the family: Transfer RNA (tRNA) molecules are approximately 80 nucleotides in length. Their secondary structure includes four short double-helical elements and three loops (D, anti-codon, and T loops).
Source: Rfam by way of RNAcentral